UUUUUUUUUUUUUUUAAACUCUGCUUAAGCAAUUGCUAGUGUCCAAUCUUUUUUUUUUUUUUUGUCUUUCUGCUAUUUCUUUGGGCCGCUCCUGCGGCAUAUCGAGUUCCCUCUGUGGCUUAGCAGAAAUAAGCCUAACUGAUAUCCAUGAGGAUGCAGGUUUGAUCCCUCACCUCACUCAGGGGUUAAGGAUCUGGUGUUACUGUGGCUGUGGCAUAGGACUGCAGCUGUGGCUGUGAUUUGACCCCUAGCCUAGGAACUUCCAUAUGCUGCACCCGUGGCCCUAAAAAAAAAAAAAAGAAAGAAAGAAAGAAAAGAAAAAAGAAAGAUAAAAUAGUUAUGGGAAUUAAAAUAUUACAUGUUAGUAAUACGGCACUUUCAAUCUAAAGUAGUUAAGUAACAAAACUGAAAUAAUAACCAGUUAUAAAACCAGGCGAACUAAAAUAAGUGAUAAAAUGUUCUGCUGCUAUUAUAAAAUAUAAUCCCAGUGUGAUCAUUUAAUACAUGCUUUUUCAGUCACAUUCUUAUGCCGUUCUUAAAGCAACAAAGAUUAGAAAAAAUUCUUAAAAUUCCGGGGACCACAAAUAAUGGGUACAAAACUCACUUUAUCACUCAACAUUUUCUUCUAUUAGGAAAUAAACACUGUUUAAAUCUAUGGUUAAAGAAAGAUGUUAACAAAUAACAUUCUGGAGUUCCCGUUUUGACUUAGCAGGUUAAGGACCCAGUGUUGACUAUGUGAGGAUACAAAUUUGAUCCCUGGCCUCACUCAGUGGGUUAAGGAUUAGGUGCUGCUGCAAGCCGCAGCAUGGGUCACAGAUGCAUCUUGGAUCUGGCAUUGCUAUGGCUGUGGUGUAGGCCAGCACCUGCAGCUCUGAUUUGACCUCUGUCCCAGGAACUUCCAUACGCCACAGGUGCAGCCUUAGAAAAAAAAAUUAAAUAAAUAAAAAUAACAUUUUGAAAUAAGGAACAUUUCUGGUGAUUUUACUGAGAUAGUUAUGUCUUCCCCAAGUUUACUUUUAAAGUAAAGGUAUACAACAGCAAACAGCUACACUUGAAGUUCACCAACUGAAGUAACAGUCCCUUAUGGCUCUGCGUUGGCUGUGCCCCAGCUGAAAAGCCAGCCUUAAGGUAAAGGCAAAAAAAAAAAACCUUAGGUAUACUCUUGGCAGUAAUGAAGGAGUGCACCUCAAAUAUCAAAAAGAAGAUAAGGAAAUGAGAAUAUAAACAGGCCUAAAAUUCCUGACAUUUGGAGCUGCCAAGGGAACACACAAGGUAAGAUCACGCUCUCCCAUCCACUGCCACACUGUACACACACUGCAGCUCUGCAGCUACCCAGUCUGCAGUGCUAUUCCAAACAAUGCUUCAGCUUUUCUAACCACUUAGUGCAACACAAAUGUUCUUUAAAGACUGGUCUUUGUAAUGUCUAUGCAAAACCACUCAACACAGUAGCAAUGGGAUCAAGAACUCCAAGAAGUGAAAAAAAAAAAUAUUUCUUGAUUACCUAUACUAAGGAAAGGAGAGUUGCCUCCUAUGUAAGACAGACCCUCAACAUAUAUUUAAAUUUUAUCAUGUUAAUGAAUCCUCAUAAAGAGGCCCUCCAGCACUCUGUUACCCAACACAUAUUUACAUCACCUUUCAGUUAUCCACACUCUUUACUAAUAAUCUGCUUAGCUCGAAAAGACUGAGGUUGCUUAAAAAACUUUAUGUAAUACGAAAGUACAAAAUGAAGAGAUGAUUGGAAGGUGGGAAAAAAGGAUUAAGAAAAUAAAAUGCAACCAGAGUUGAUGAUUCUACACAAAAUGCAGUUAAUUCCUAAAGUUGAAGAAUAAAUAAGGCUAUUAGUUUCAGGGCAACGAAAGUAAAGAGGGGGGAAUUAUCGAUUUUAAGAUUUGCAGAGGCCACAGACAUCGGCAGUUUCUGCCAACAGUACCAUCAUUUUCCUGGUCUGGUUCUUUAAGUAUUUUAUGUUUUAUCUCUCAAUUAGUUGUAACCAGAUCUUCGGGAUUAGGAACUACAUCUGGGUAUCUUCUUGCAGCCUACACUUGUUCUACCACGGAUCUACUAUUAAGCCCUCAAUAAAUACUGAGGUAUAGGAGAACAUGACCUAGACUGAGGCUAACAGGGAAAAACAAUUUGGCAUUAAAAGUGCUGACAUCUGCAGACACCAAGUAAAGAACUGUCAAAUGUAAAGAAAUCCUUUACCUGGAAAGUGCCAGUAAUAGUAAUGUAACGCUGACACACACACACACACGCACACACACACACAGAGUGUUGUAGAAAUCACUAUACUCAAAAAAACUACUUUUCAAAAUGUUCCAACUUAAAUAUUGUUUCAUGAAAUUCAGAAAUAUAAAUCAAACAAGCACAAAUGAUAUUUCAGAUUGCCUUGCUAGAAAUGUAACUUCUAAUGUAUUUUUCUAUCUAGUCACACAUGU
Molecule: long non-coding RNA, 2435 nt
Filed under: Sus scrofa (pig)
Lineage: Eukaryota; Metazoa; Chordata; Mammalia; Artiodactyla; Suidae
Description: lncRNA (ENSSSCG00045016286.1)
Source: RNAcentral